GGUAAGGUGGCUCAGUGGUAGAGCACUUGCCUUGCAUGCAUGAGGCCCUGGGUUCCAUUCCUCAGACCA
This 69-nucleotide transfer RNA is filed under the name Dipodomys ordii (Ord's kangaroo rat). It matches the Rfam family "tRNA". Rfam says of the family: Transfer RNA (tRNA) molecules are approximately 80 nucleotides in length. Their secondary structure includes four short double-helical elements and three loops (D, anti-codon, and T loops). Further hydrogen bonds mediate the characteristic L-shaped molecular structure. tRNAs have two regions of fundamental functional importance: the anti-codon, which is responsible for specific mRNA codon recognition, and the 3' end, to which the tRNAs corresponding amino acid is attached (by aminoacyl-tRNA synthetases). tRNAs cope with the degeneracy of the genetic code in two manners: having more than one tRNA (with a specific anti-codon) for a particular amino acid; and 'wobble' base-pairing, i.e. permitting non-standard base-pairing at the 3rd anti-codon position. Lineage: Eukaryota; Metazoa; Chordata; Mammalia; Rodentia; Heteromyidae. The record is from Rfam by way of RNAcentral.